This 413-nucleotide ribosomal RNA is filed under the name uncultured bacterium. RNAcentral's name for it is "bacterial SSU rRNA". It matches the Rfam family "Bacterial small subunit ribosomal RNA", at positions 505 to 916 of the family's 1533-position model. The record is from RNAcentral.
GUGUCAGCCGCCGCGGUAAUACGUAGGGGGCGAGCGUUGUCCGGAAUUACUGGGCGUAAAGGGUGCGUAGGCGGCCUGAUAAGUCAGGUGUGAAAUACCAGGGCUCAACCCUGGGGGUGCACUUGAAACUGUCGGGCUUGAGUGCAGGAGAGGGAAGUGGAAUUCCUAGUGUAGCGGUGAAAUGCGUAGAGAUUAGGAGGAACACCAGUGGCGAAGGCGGCUUCCUGGCCUGUAACUGACGCUGAGGCACGAAAGCGUGGGUAGCGAACAGGAUUAGAUACCCUGGUAGUCCACGCCGUAAACGAUGGAUACUAGGUGUUGGAGGUAUCGACCCCUUCUGUGCCGGAGUUAACACAAUAAGUAUCCCGCCUGGGGAGUACGGCCGCAAGGUUGAAACUUAAAGGAAUUGGCGG